AAAAAGGGCUUCUGCUAUGAGUGGCACAAGUAAGGAAACUUACUUGCCCUCAUAAGGAAUUGACAUCAAGAGAUUUCAGAAGCAUCUUUUUUUUUUUUUUUGGCAGCUGGUGAUCACUGAUCCUAGCAUCCAA
This is a small nuclear RNA of Sorex fumeus (smoky shrew), 133 nucleotides long. RefSeq annotates it as U11 spliceosomal RNA. The transcript has a single exon. Lineage: Eukaryota; Metazoa; Chordata; Mammalia; Eulipotyphla; Soricidae. The record is from RefSeq and is a predicted model, not a curated record.